GGCUGAUUGGAGUGCAGUGGUGUUUACAACUAAUUGAUCACAACCAGCUACAGAUUUCUUUGUUCCUUCUCCACUCUCACUGCUUCACUUGACUAAUCUGAA
This 102-nucleotide Y RNA is filed under the name Pongo abelii (Sumatran orangutan). It matches the Rfam family "Y RNA". From Rfam's summary of the family: Y RNAs are components of the Ro ribonucleoprotein particle (Ro RNP), in association with Ro60 and La proteins. Lineage: Eukaryota; Metazoa; Chordata; Mammalia; Primates; Hominidae. The record is from RNAcentral.